This 232-nucleotide ribosomal RNA is filed under the name uncultured bacterium. RNAcentral's name for it is "partial 16S ribosomal RNA". It matches the Rfam family "Bacterial small subunit ribosomal RNA", at positions 15 to 240 of the family's 1533-position model. The record is from RNAcentral.
GAUCAUGGCUCAGGAUGAACGCUAGCGACAGGCUUAACACAUGCAAGUCGAGGGGCAGCAUGAGGUAGCAAUACCUUGAUGGCGACCGGCGCACGGGUGAGUAACGCGUGAGGAACCUGCCUCAAAGAGGGGGACAACAGUUGGAAACGACUGCUAAUACCGCAUAAGCCCACAGGUCGGCAUCGACCAGAGGGAAAAGGAGCAAUCCGCUUUAAGAUGGCCUCGCGUCCGA